GUUCUGGGAUUCUCAGGAUUCUGCAUAACAUGCCGGUGGUGAUCUCUUCUAAGAAGUGUGACUUUUCUUGCAUGGCCUGGGGGUUAAGAAUGGUUAUGCAUCAUGGCCUUCAAAUGCUCUCGGGGCUCACCCACUCUUGCUCCUUUUCAGUUUAUGUGGAUCCAUGAUGUGGAAAUUCUCCAGCCUACAUCCAUGUUUGCACUCCUUCUAGUCUGUGUACUGAGCACCCAUGAUAUGCCGGGCACGGUGCUAGAUCUGAAGGUGCUAGAUCCGAAAAAGGCAUAGUCCUUGGCCUCAAGGAGUCUAGUGGGAGGGGCCUCGUGAACACUCAAUUGCCAUAAGAGUGUGGAGGGCUGCGGUGUGCCCGGGUGCUUGGGAAUGCUGUAGCGUGGAUUCCUACUUGGUCUUCAGGGGGCCGGCACUGAAGAGAGGCUGACCAAAGAGAAAAUCAAAGUCGAGUCCUCAUGGAUGAAUAGGAGUUCCUGGGACGAGGUGAUGGUAGGAAAAGGUGUCAGUGAGCAGGUGAGGAGGGCAUUCCAGGUAGACGGUCCGCAGGAGCCAAGGUUCAAUGGCGACAGAGGAGAAACGCACCAUUUAGAACGUGUAAGCAUAAAGUGAGAAGAAAGGGGAAGUCAGGAGGUGCGAUGCCGAGCUCCGCUAAAGAACAAGUCCUGAGCGCAAUGGGGAGCCACAAAAUGGCUGAAAGCAGCAACAACAAAGACUUGGCUUUCUCACACCUGCUCCCACACGCUGGGCUGCCUGGAGAAAAGUUACCACAGCCACAGCCCGACCCGCGCUCUCUUGCCACAGACCUUUAGAAGACAGGAGGAUUUCACCUCAGGAGACGCCCUCCUUUGCCUCCCAGAUGAUUUAGAUGAAUCUACCAUAGUGCACCAGCAACAUCUAGCAUCACACUUAUGCUGUUUUUUAACCUGUGAUUUGCAUAUUGCUUCCCUUGCAAAACUGGAAACAUCUUCAAAGGAAGGGAUGCUUCUCAGUGUUUGCAUCUCCAGCGCCUAGGACAGCGUUUGCAGAGAGCAAAUGCUCAGUGUAUGAAUCCCAUUGCUUGUGAAGCUGUGAUUAUGACCCUGGUCUCCUUGGCUAUCACAGGAACCAAGCCCCACUCUGCUUUGGUGUAAGCCCAGAGUAGUUCAAGCCAAGGGUGCUCUGACGUGGACUCAGUCCCUGGCCGGUGAUGACUCAUUGCUGGGGCUUUCCCUUCCAGGGAUUCAUCUGAUAGACGGGAGCUCCUAGAAUGCCUUACCUCCCAUUGGAUGCGGGAUUCCAGCACUGCCACCAACCUCGAAGAGGAGAUGCUCUAGCCUGGGGACAAAGAGCUGAACAAAGACUUUCUCGCUGCAGAAUGUGUGACAGUGACAUAAUGAGAAAUAUAUAUUUGAUCUCCACCUCUAGUUCCUGACAUAGAGCUCCUAAAACCCUUGUAAUUUCCUGAGUGACAGGGGUGAGAGGAGCAUAUUUUGUUAUAAUUGGUCUUUAGUCCCUGGUUCCUGACACCAGACAGAGCUUCUAAGACUUUGGAAUCUCCAGAGUGGUCAGAGUGUCUUUUUGUAUGUUGAUGAGAUGACUGGUCCAGGGGCUGGAAGGCAGCUUCAGGAUAGCGGGCUGGUUGCCAGAGGAACCAGCCGUGUGAUUAGAAGGUUGGAAAUUGCAGCCCUCCUCUGCCGACCUCCAGGGAAAAAGGAGGGGCUGGAGACUAAGUUCAAUCACCAAUCACCAGUGAUUUAAUCAACCCUGUCUAUGUAAUGCUCCCUCCUUAAAAACCCUGAAAGAAGGAGUUUGGAGGGCUCCCAGGAUGGAGAGAUGGCAUUGGAUGACCACAUCACCCAGAGCACUAUCGCAUGACUUGUAGGAAGGAGAAGUCACCUGGAAACUUUCAUGCCAUCAAGCCGUGUGUUCAGGAUCAUAGCUUGUAUUUAUUGUCCUCCUUCCCAUGAG
This is a long non-coding RNA of Equus caballus (horse), 1956 nucleotides long. The record is from Ensembl. NCBI's taxonomy places the organism in Eukaryota, Metazoa, Chordata, Mammalia, Perissodactyla, Equidae.